GUCUGUGGCCACACCACCCUGAACGCGCCUGAUCUCUCUGGUCACAGAAGCUAAGCGGGGCUGGGCCUGGUCAGUACUUGGAUGGGAGACAGAUCUUCAGAGGAGACUGCUCAGAGACA
RNAcentral lists this ribosomal RNA (119 nucleotides) under Castor canadensis (American beaver). The record is from RNAcentral. Lineage: Eukaryota; Metazoa; Chordata; Mammalia; Rodentia; Castoridae.